This 77-nucleotide transfer RNA is filed under the name Lactobacillus sp. RNAcentral describes it as "tRNA-Met". It matches the Rfam family "tRNA". Rfam says of the family: Transfer RNA (tRNA) molecules are approximately 80 nucleotides in length. Their secondary structure includes four short double-helical elements and three loops (D, anti-codon, and T loops). Further hydrogen bonds mediate the characteristic L-shaped molecular structure. tRNAs have two regions of fundamental functional importance: the anti-codon, which is responsible for specific mRNA codon recognition, and the 3' end, to which the tRNAs corresponding amino acid is attached (by aminoacyl-tRNA synthetases). tRNAs cope with the degeneracy of the genetic code in two manners: having more than one tRNA (with a specific anti-codon) for a particular amino acid; and 'wobble' base-pairing, i.e. permitting non-standard base-pairing at the 3rd anti-codon position. Lineage: Bacteria; Bacillati; Bacillota; Bacilli; Lactobacillales; Lactobacillaceae. RNAcentral also lists the same sequence under 7 other names. The record is from RNAcentral.
CGCGGGGUGGAGCAGCCCGGUAGCUCGUCAGGCUCAUAACCUGAAGGCCGUCAGUUCAAAUCUGGCCCCCGCAACCA